AAUGUAUUUUUAAAAACUAGAGUAUUAAUAGUUAUAUACUUUAAACUUAAAAAAUUUGGCGGUAUUUUAGUCUAUUCAGAGGAACCUGUUUAGUAAUCGAUAUUCCACGAUGGACCUUACUUAAUUUUAUAUAUUAAUUUGUAUACCGUCGUUAUAGAAAAUUUUAUAAGAAUAAUAAUUUUCAAUAAAUUUAAUUAAAUUUUAUAUCAGAUCAAGGUGCAGUUUAUAAUUAAGAUAAAAAUGGGUUACAAUAAAAUUAUUUAUAUGGAUAUAAAUAUGAAAAAUUUAUUUAAAGUGGAUUUGAUAGUAAAAUUAUAAAGAUUAUUAAUUUGAUUAUUGCUCU
RNAcentral lists this ribosomal RNA (343 nucleotides) under Triphleba distinguenda. Its description in RNAcentral is "partial 12S ribosomal RNA". Lineage: Eukaryota; Metazoa; Arthropoda; Insecta; Diptera; Phoridae. The record is from RNAcentral.